Molecule: ribosomal RNA, 460 nt
Filed under: uncultured bacterium
Lineage: Bacteria
Description: partial 16S ribosomal RNA
Rfam family: Bacterial small subunit ribosomal RNA
Source: RNAcentral
CCUACGGGAGGCAGCAGUGAGGAAUAUUGGUCAAUGGACGAGAGUCUGAACCAGCCAAGUAGCGUGAAGGAUGACUGCCCUAUGGGUUGUAAACUUCUUUUAUAAAGGAAUAAAACGAGGCACGUGUGCCUUUUUGCAUGUACUUUAUGAAUAAGGAUCGGCUAACUCCGUGCCAGCAGCCACGGUAAUACGGAGGAUCCGAGCGUUAUCCGGAUUUAUUGGGUUUAAAGGGAGCGUAGAUGGGUUGUUAAGUCAGUUGUGAAAGUUUGCGGCUCAACCGUAAAAUUGCAAUUGAUACUGGCAGUCGUGAGUACAGUUGAGGUAGGCGGAAUUCGUGGUGUAGCGGUGAAAUGCUGAGAUAUCACGAAGAACCCCGAUUGCGAAGGCAGCUUACUAAACUGUGACUGACAUUGAUGCUCGAAAGUGUGGGUAUCAAACAGGAUUAGAUACCCGUGUAGUC